GUUGAAGAGCUUCAACAAGAAGCUCACGGCCAAAACUAAGAAAAAUCAACUCCAUUUCAAGCCAUCCCAAAAUUAUUUCUUUGGUGUAAACCCACUAUUUUGAGGUCCCUAAGUAGUGUGAAAGUGUUGUUGGGGCGAUCAAAUCAUCCGUUUGGUAGAUCACAAACCCUAACUAUUUGUGGGAUUGAAGAAGAAAGAUCGUGGGCAGCCCGAGACGUAGGUUGGACUUAUCUUGUGUUUGGAUUAUUAUUGGAGAGCGUUUGAGGUACAGACGCACAACCUGGUGAUCCACCUGUUUAGGACACCCCCUUCUGCUAUUCGGAGUGCUCCUCUCAUUCCGGAGCUUAUAUUUUUGGUAUAUAUAUUUGUUAGUGCAUUUAUAUAUAUUCGUUCAUGGGUACGGCGGGGCCCUGUCCCGUCAUAUGAUUCUGUCGGUCUGUUUAGAGGUCUGUGGACAUGUUUGUGGGUUAAGGUCUUUCUGUACGAAUGCGUGUAUAUGUUGUGUUUGGGCGAUCUCAUUCGCCGCGGCGGCCGGUCCGCAUAUGUUUACAU
Lycium barbarum (goji berry) is the source of this 552-nucleotide long non-coding RNA. RefSeq lists it as uncharacterized. Lineage: Eukaryota; Viridiplantae; Streptophyta; Magnoliopsida; Solanales; Solanaceae. The record is from RefSeq and is a predicted model, not a curated record. The transcript has 3 exons.